This 88-nucleotide transfer RNA is filed under the name Dehalococcoidales bacterium. RNAcentral describes it as "tRNA-Ser". It matches the Rfam family "tRNA". From Rfam's summary of the family: Transfer RNA (tRNA) molecules are approximately 80 nucleotides in length. Their secondary structure includes four short double-helical elements and three loops (D, anti-codon, and T loops). The record is from RNAcentral. Lineage: Bacteria; Bacillati; Chloroflexota; Dehalococcoidia; Dehalococcoidales.
GGAGGGGUGUCUGAGUGGUCUAAAGAGACGGUCUUGAAAACCGUUGUUGCGCAAGCAACCGUGGGUUCGAAUCCCACCCCCUCCGCCA